This 28-nucleotide non-coding RNA is filed under the name Mus musculus (house mouse). Lineage: Eukaryota; Metazoa; Chordata; Mammalia; Rodentia; Muridae. The record is from RNAcentral.
UUACAGUCACGCAUAUCUGGAGGAGUCA